AGAACCUCGACCAAUAUAUUCAUAUAAAAUAAACCUGAAACAAAAAUAUCCUCUUGCGUCUCACCGCAAAAAUCUCCUUGUAAGAGCGGGAAAAAGAAAACUGGGCUUUUGAUUUCUCAAUAGCUGAAUUAGGUAUAAAAUAAAAUGGUAAACGUAAUGGAUCAAGAUCAACAAUGGCUACUCAAUUGCCUGAAUACCACUCUCGAUCCUAACCAGGAAACCCGUUCCUUCCCCGAAGCCUCUCUCCAUCCAGGCUUUGGAGUCGCGCAUUAUCAAAAGUUGCUGUAAAUAAGGAACUUCCUUUUGGAUUGCGUCAGAUAUCCUCUUUCUUAGGUUUUGUGAUUUAUUUUAACUUUUUUUUUUAAUUUGAUUUGUUCCGAGAAUUAACUUGAUAAUCACCUAGCUGCGGUACUAUUAACGCAAUUCAUUAAGAAACAUUGGCAUGAAGGCGAGGAUUCGCUUGAGCCUCCUGUUGUCGCAACUGAAGGGAAGCAAGUUACACGGAGACUACGUUUACCUUCGUUGGAUGAUUCUCACCGGAAGAUUUGUACCGCAAUUAGUAUGGCUACUGCUUCGAUUUCUGUAAUGACUAGCCUGAGAAUUGGCCUGAUUUAGUGCCGUUUCUUUUGAAGUUGAUUAACGAUCAAACUCAUAUGAGUGGACGUAAGUCUUUGGAAUGUUCGGUUUGGAUGUGGUGAAGUUUUUCUCUCCCCCCUUUAAAUUUGAGAUUGUCAUGUACAUUCCAAGCAAGACAUUUUUAAAUACAUAAAUAAAUCCUCAAGUUCUAUUUGUCAAAUUGAAUCUUGAGUUUGGAUAUCUUUAUAAGUGACCAGUUCAUUGAAACUUGACUCGAGAAAGAUGGCUAUAGUUGAUGUUGGAAUUUGUAGUGCAUGGAGCUCUAAGGUGUUCGGCCCUUCUCUCUGGGGAUCUAGAUGAUACUGUGGUGCCAACACUAGUACCGGUUUUGUUCCCAUGCUUGCAUACAAUUGUAUCGUCACCUCAGGCUUCUCAACCCUGAUCUGGAAAGCUCUGGAUCUGUUUUUGUUGGGAGUUACAUUUUACAGCUUAUUUUACACCUGCCAUUGCAAAUGGCAACGCAUAUCCGAGACCUGGUUGCUGCUCUUGUUCAACGAAUGCAAUCGGCUCAAAUAGUGGGGUUGAAAAGCUCAUUGCUGCUUAUUAUA
Populus trichocarpa (black cottonwood) is the source of this 1184-nucleotide long non-coding RNA. RefSeq lists it as uncharacterized. The transcript is spliced from 4 exons. The record is from RefSeq and is a predicted model, not a curated record. Lineage: Eukaryota; Viridiplantae; Streptophyta; Magnoliopsida; Malpighiales; Salicaceae.